RNAcentral lists this transfer RNA (54 nucleotides) under Histiostoma blomquisti. Its description in RNAcentral is "tRNA-Met". Lineage: Eukaryota; Metazoa; Arthropoda; Arachnida; Sarcoptiformes; Histiostomatidae. The record is from RNAcentral.
AAUAUCUUAAAGCUUAAAGCUUAGGGGCUCAUAAUCUCUAGAGUCUAGAUAUUU